Molecule: long non-coding RNA, 1172 nt
Filed under: Linum usitatissimum (flax)
Lineage: Eukaryota; Viridiplantae; Streptophyta; Magnoliopsida; Malpighiales; Linaceae
Description: long non-coding RNA (LUSI_LNC006894)
Source: RNAcentral
GAUAAUAAGGUUGAAACCUUGCGGCGGAACCAGCAACAGGCUAUUUGCCCCUUCUUUUCGCCUCAUUUCUUCCGUCUUUGAUGCGCACCCUCUCUUCCGUCCUCACACUUUUCUUAAGGUCCCCCCAACUCCUCAACUCUCCUCCCGACCGCUCGACUCCUCGCCUCAGGACAGCUCGAAACUCUUCUCCUGACAACUCGAAUCCUUUCGACGACUGCACUUCUCUUCUCCAGACGGCUACGCUAGUCAAUCGACGUCACCGCUCUACUCCUCUCGAAGGCUACUGUAAUACAUUUGCCUUUGCUCUUUAUCUGUAUCUAUCCCCAACAUCAGAGGGAUUUCGAGGUUCAAUGGUGGCUUGUUAAUAUGGCUGGUCUCUUGCUUAAUAUGGGUCUCUUGUUCAAUGGUGGCUGGUCUAACCUUUUAUGAACAGAGACUUAAUGUAAUUAGUAACUUAAUGGCUAAUCUAACCUUUCAUUGCUUCUUUCAAAUCCAUUAGUAGUUUUGAAAAUCUAGCUAUAAGUAUUCAUUUCUCUGCCAUAACAAGCCUUUGAAAUAUAUUUGUGCUCGUCGUUAUUUCUUAUUUACAGGAUGUCGGUUGAAAAAGUAUCAUCCAAUCCUAUUAACACUGCAUAUGCAUCUACUUCAAAUAUUGUAAUGACUGAUGGUACUGAAGCAACCGAGACUUUGUUAAAUUGUUAUUCUUUGUUUUCUCUUGUGCAUAUGUUCGGUAAAUGAGUCGAGCUCGAACUUGUAAACGAGCUGGAUCGGAUUCGAAUGAAUUGAACUCGAGUCGAGCUGGAGCUCGUUUACGAGCCUAACAAUCUGAAUAGAAAUCAAGCUGAGCUAGGGCUCGUUAAGGUUCGUAAACAAACUGCAUUCGAGCCGAGCUGAGCUUGAGCCCAACAAUUAUUAGACGAGCUGAGCUCGAGCUCGAAUGUAGUGGCUCGAGUCGAGCUCGAGCCAUGUAAUUUUUUUUCGAGCCGUGCUCGAGCUAGGCAAAGCUUGGCUCGACUCGGUUCGUGUACAGCUCUAUUGAAAAUGCUUGCCUGCAGUUUAUAUAGUUGCACUUUUCUUGGUUGAAUGAUAGACCCUUGUUUGACUAAGACUGAAUCUUGCAACUGGUUGGAGCUUCAUUGGGAAUUUUGUUCUUCUGAGAUAACUGAAAAGUU